UACAGAGGGGGCAAGCGUUGUUCGGAAUUACUGGGCGUAAAGGGCGCGUAGGCGGCCUGCUAAGUCGAACGUGAAAUCCCUGGGCUCAACCCAGGAACUGCGUCCGAUACUGGUUGGCUUGAAUCCGGGAGAGGGAUGUGGAAUUCCAGGUGUAGCGGUGAAAUGCGUAGAUAUCUGGAGGAACACCGGUGGCGAAGGCGGGUCUCUGGGCCGUAACUGACGCUGAGGAGCGAAAGCGUGGGGAGCGAACAGG
This 253-nucleotide ribosomal RNA is filed under the name uncultured bacterium. Its description in RNAcentral is "partial 16S ribosomal RNA". It matches the Rfam family "Bacterial small subunit ribosomal RNA", at positions 524 to 776 of the family's 1533-position model. The record is from RNAcentral.